CUACGGGAUGCUCCAGUGGGGAAUAUUGGACAAUGGGCGCAAGCCUGAUCCAGCAAUGCCGCGUGAGUGAAGACGGCCUUAGGGUUGUAAAACUCUUUCGCUAGGGAAGAUAAUGACUGUACCUAGUAAAGAAGUCCCGGCUAACUCCGUGCCAGCAGCCGCGGUAAUACGGAGGGGACUAGCGUUGUUCGGAAUUACUGGGCGUAAAGAGUUCGUAGGCGGACUGACAAGUUAGAGGUGAAAUCCCAGGGCUCAACCCUGGAACUGCCUUUAAAACUGUCAGUCUAGAGACCGGAAGAGGUUAGGGGAAUACCUAGUGUAGAGGUGAAAUUCGUAGAUAUUAGGUGGAACACCAGUGGCGAAGGCGCCUAACUGGUCCGGUACUGACGCUGAGGAAUGAAAGCGUGGGGAGCAAACAGGAUUAGAUACCCCAGUAGUC
This 439-nucleotide ribosomal RNA is filed under the name uncultured bacterium. RNAcentral's name for it is "partial 16S ribosomal RNA". It matches the Rfam family "Bacterial small subunit ribosomal RNA", at positions 339 to 795 of the family's 1533-position model. The record is from RNAcentral.